Molecule: ribosomal RNA, 468 nt
Filed under: uncultured bacterium
Lineage: Bacteria
Description: partial 16S ribosomal RNA
Rfam family: Bacterial small subunit ribosomal RNA
Source: RNAcentral
GACGAACGCUGGCGGCGUGCUUAACACAUGCAAGUCGAACGGAAAGGCCCUGCUUUUGUGGGGUGCUCGAGUGGCGAACGGGUGAGUAACACGUGAGUAACCUGCCCUUGACUUUGGGAUAACUUCAGGAAACUGGGGCUAAUACCGGAUAGGAGCUCCUGCUGCAUGGUGGGGGUUGGAAAGUUUCGGCGGUUGGGGAUGGACUCGCGGCUUAUCAGCUUGUUGGUGGGGUAGUGGCUUACCAAGGCUUUGACGGGUAGCCGGCCUGAGAGGGUGACCGGCCACAUUGGGACUGGGCUACGGCCCAGACUCCUACGGGAGGCAGCAGUGGGGAAUAGUGCACAAUGGGCGGAAGCCUGAUGCAGCAACGCCGCGUGCGGGAUGACGGCCUUCGGGUUGUAAACCGCUUUCGCCUGUGACGAAGCGUGAGUGACGGUAAUGGGUAAAGAAGCACCGGCUAACUACGUG